This 12627-nucleotide long non-coding RNA is filed under the name Solanum tuberosum (potato). RNAcentral describes it as "long non-coding RNA (STUB_LNC008760)". The record is from RNAcentral. Lineage: Eukaryota; Viridiplantae; Streptophyta; Magnoliopsida; Solanales; Solanaceae.
CCGCACACUUGUCCGCUUGCACAUUGGUUGGUACCAUAGUUGUAGUUUGGCUUCUCCCCCACCCACAAUUGCACAGCUGCCCUCCCCGUGAAAUCACCAGUUCCCUUGGCAAGGUUCUCCCCUGCACCGGAAUGAAUCAAGUUACAAUCACCAGUUCUUGAAUUGGCAUAAUUUUGUGCUCGGGAUGCCAAACCGGCAUCCCAAGACAUUGGCCCGACCCCGACUUGGGCACGGGCAUCGUUGUGAACCGCAAGAUAGUCUUGGGGUGAAUUUUGGGCAUCACAAGAGUGAAAUAUGGCUAAUACCAUGAGACAAGUGAGUAACAAUGAGAUGUUAAACAACCCCAUUUUGCUUUAGGUCUAGUGGAAAGAAAAUAAAUCUAAGUUAUUGUGAUUAUAAAUGUGAGAUAAGUAGUGUAUUUAUAAGUAAAAUUAAUUGUGGAAUUUUGUUUAGCAUGUGUGAAGAAAAUUCAAAGGAAAUUAGUAGAGGAAAUGAUAAAAAUGGUCUCUUAUCUUUGAUAGUAAGUUCAAAAUAGUCUCGUGUGUAUUUAGUUGAGCCAUUUUGGUCCUUCAAUUGUUUAGAAGUAAUUACUUUCGGUCCUGAUGGUAUCAAAGAUAAGUGAACAGUGUCUUCAUUGAAGGACUGCUUCUUCCUCCUUGAUAUUAUCAAAGGAUAAUAUACUUUGGUGGUAUUAAUGAGUAACUGAAUAGUGUUUUCAUUAAGAUUUGUUUCAGUCCUUCGAUGAGAAUACUCAAUCAUCCAUGAUAUCAUUACGGUAUUUCUACAUACUGUCGUGAUAUCAUUGAGGUAUGUUUGAAUUCUUCAAUAUUUUAAUUUUAAAAAAUAUAUUUCCUACUAAUUUAGAGUUUAAUAAAUAAGAUUGUGAAUUUAAUAAUUUUCUCAUAACUAUUUCUUAAAAAAAGAGUUAAAUCCUAUAUCUCAUACUAUAUCAUGUGCAAUAUAAAAAAGGAGAAAGUGGGGUAAGCAGGUAAAUAUUUUGAGGUAUAGGUCCAUUUAGGGUAAAUAGUUUGGAUAGAGUCCAAUUUAGAUAAAUAGUUUCAUAAUUGGGUCUAUCUUACAUAGUUUUUUCUAUUAAUUACGCUACUUAAUUUUUAAAUAUAUAAAUUUCAUAAUUUUAAAUAAGUAAAGAACCUAUGCCCAACUUCACACUAAGAAUUUAGUACUUUGACCCUCGUACUUGGAAUUUUUCAAUAUUAAUUUGCUCAUACAAUUAUUCAACUAAUUUAUAUAGAACCAAUCCUUUUCUGAGUUUAAGUAGCACAAAUAUCGUAUUUUAAUCUUAGUUAAUGAAAGACAAAUUUUAAAAAGGUCAAAUAGGAAUAACAACUUUAUGUAUUCAUGUUUAGUGGAAACAAGAAGAUGCAAUACUUAGUUAUCAACGUAAGCCACUAUACCAUGAACAUAUGGUACGUGGAAUUAUUCAUACUAGCAACAUCAAAGGGUAAUAAUAAUAAUAAUUAUAGAGGUACAUUUAAUCCCUUACACAUCAUAAGUAAACACAUUUUAGUAAGGACGUUGUCCGACCCAGUUUCCAACAGGAUCAUAGUUGCAUGAAAUGAACCACCAUCCGUUGUUGCAACGAGCCCGACCACAACCUAGUCGAACUGAGUUGCGCCAGACUACUUGAGUAUAGUGUCCGCACACUUGUCCGCUUGCACAUUGGUUGGUACCAUAGUUGUAGUUUGGCUUCUCCCCCACCCACAAUUGCACAGCUGCCCUCCCCGUGAAAUCACCAGUUCCCUUGGCAAGGUUCUCCCCUGCACCGGAAUGAAUCAAGUUACAAUCACCAGUUCUUGAAUUGGCAUAAUUUUGUGCUCGGGAUGCCAAACCGGCAUCCCAAGACAUUGGCCCGACCCCGACUUGGGCACGGGCAUCGUUGUGAACCGCAAGAUAGUCUUGGGGUGAAUUUUGGGCAUCACAAGAGUGAAAUAUGGCUAAUACCAUGAGACAAGUGAGUAACAAUGAGAUGUUAAACAACCCCAUUUUGCUUUAGGUCUAGUGGAAAGAAAAUAAAUCUAAGUUAUUGUGAUUAUAAAUGUGAGAUAAGUAGUGUAUUUAUAAGUAAAAUUAAUUGUGGAUUUUGGUUUAGCAUGUGUGAAGAAAAUUCAAAGGAAAUUAGUAGAGGAAAUGAUAAAAAUGGUCUCUUAUCUUUGAUAGUAAGUUCAAAAUAGUCUCGUGUGUAUUUAGUUGAGCCAUUUUGGUCCUUCAAUUGUUUAGAAGUAAUUACUUUCGGUCCUUUAAGUUUUUCAAAAAUGAGCAUUUUUUUUUAUCUUGAUUAGAUUUUUAUCAAACUUUGAUUGUUAAAUUUAAACAUUGUGGAAUUUUAUUUUUCAUAUUAAGAAAAUUCAAAUGUGAUUAGUACCUUGCAUGUCGUGUGAUUCAUAGAAUACUAUAUUCUUUAAAGAAUAGUCAUACUUUAAUCUAGGUAAUUCUUGUUUUUUUUUCAAAAUUAUAUUAUCAAAAUAAGGUUAAACAAGAUUAAUUAAGCAUUUUUGGGUGGAAUAAAAAGUCUAUAGAACAUAAGAAGACUUGAAUUACUAAAAAGAUAUAUAUUUUUUCUAUUAGAUGGGGCUCACACAUGUUCUACAAUCUCGUGAAGCAUAAAGAUGUAUAUUUUUUUUCCAUUAGAUGGGGCUCACACAUGUUCUACAGCCUCGUGAAGCAUGGACGUGACCAAAUGGUGAAGCAGCUAAAAUAAGGGCUUUAGGCUCCAAAAUUAUAGGGGUUUGAAUAAAAACUUUUUUUCUUAUACAAUGUCUUGGGUGUGUGCUGGAGUCCUCAUUAAUUUGAUUUAUGUCACAUAAGUACCUUUAAAGGGAAGUUCUAUCUAGCAGUCUUUAUUUUCAUUUUAGGAUUCGAACAUGGAACAUCCGAUCAAGAGAGGAUGCGAUUCAGUGUUUACUUGUAAAAUAUUUCAUGGAAAAAUGAUUUUAGGCCAUCGAUAUUAUUGAGCCGCCCUAAAUCUAUUGGGAGAAAAUUAUUGUACGAGAGAGAAGAGUGAGAAUUUGUUAGUCAUUGAAAGCAAUUUGAAUAUAAUGAAAACAAAAAAUAAACAAAGUGAUGGACACAUAAACCAGGACAAAUAUUUGGUCCUUUCUGUAGAAAUUAACUGCCUCACAUCCUGGCAGCUUCGAAUGAGAAUUAUUAAUUUUUAAAACGUUUUUAAGGGUUGAAGUUGAAUUUACGAAUAAAUAGUUACAUGUUUAAAUAAGUAUUAAAUAGAGAAUAAAUAAUUUGAUAUGCUUAAUAAAUAUAUGUGCACCUAAAGUAGUUCCUGACGAAUGUACUUCAUAUAAUAUUUUACAUAUAAAGUAUAAUUUUUCGAUAAAAGUUUUCAAUAGGUCACCGCCAGGGGAGGAGCCAGCAUGUCUUUAGGGGUUCAUCCGAAUCCCUUUUGGUGGAAAAUAUUACUAUAUAUACAUGGUUAAAAUUAUUUUUUAGAUGUAUAUAAUAGAUGUCGAACCCCCCUUCGACUAGUUCAUAUGUUUACUCCUUCGGAUUUUGAACCCCUUAUUAAAAAUCAUGGCUCUGCCACUAGUCACCGCUGCGUGGAAUUCCUGUUCCAUCACGUAAUUGGAGAGUUUUUUCUUGACUUCUAUUUUUAUUAUUAUGGAAUUAUCUACAGUUUAAUUCACUGAUUUUGAUUUGGAGAAUGACAAUAUGCUAAUUUUAUGUAUUAAACCUUAGUGUGAAGAUAAAAUAUUAUAUUUAUUUGACAACGUUACGUUUGUAUUAAAGUAAACUAGUAUAUAUAUAUAUUCGCGGAUAAUAUUAAAAAUAUUAUUUUUAAGUGUAUUAGAAUGUGUGACUUGCAAGUUUGAGUCAGUCAAAAUUACAGUUAUUUUUUGUGUGAUUAAUUAACUUAGUUAGAAAAUCAAAUAUAAUUAUUUCACUCGUACUUCAACUUAUAAUAACUAAACGAAGUCAAUCGGAACUCAUCAUAGCUUUCUGAGGGAUCGACUCAAGACUCAUAAUCAAGAUUAUAUUGAUUAUGCUCACUUAGUUUUUGAAUAUGUAAAUUUCAUAAUUUAAAAAAGGAAAUAAAGAAUCUAUGUCGUGUUAGUGUUUUGCCCUGAUUUUAAAAAAUAAAGGUCCUUUAAAUUUUUCAAAAGUGAACACUUUUGGUUUUGAGAAGAUAUUUAUCAAACUUUGAUUGUUAAAUUUAAUCGAAUUUGUAUAAAAUGUUAAAUUUAAACACUGUGGAAUUUUAUUUCACAUGUGAAGAAAAUUCAAAGGAGAUUAAUGUUACAUUGCAUGUCGUGUUAUUCAGGAAAUACUCUAUGCUUUAAAGAAUAGUCAUACUUUAAUCUAGGACAUUUCUUCACCCCAUAUUAUUCAGAUAAGAUUAAACAAGACUUAGUAAGUGUUUUUGGGUGGAAUAUUCACAAUAGGUAAAAUAUGCGCUCUCAAUAAUUACAUGCAAGUCUACGGAGCAUAGAAAGACAAGAUGCUUAUAUCGUAUAUUUGCUAAAUGAAUCUAAUUCUAAUACAACUUUAUAUCUCAAUUAAAUUGGACUCGCACAUGUUCUACAGUCUCGUGAAUCAUGUUGAAGCAACUAAAGCAAGGACUUUAGGCUCCAAAAUUUUAGGGUUCCGAUUUUUAUUUUUUAUUUUCUCAUACAAUGUCUAGAAUCUAUGUUGAAGUCACGAUUAAUUCAAUUUCGUGUCACAUAAGGUUCUUUAAAGGAAGAAGCUCUCUAGCAAUAUUUGUUUUCCUUUUGAGAUUUGGACUCAAUAUCUCUGAUCAAGAGAGGAAGCGAUUCAGUUUUAUUUAGCUAUAAAAUAUUUUAUGAAAAUUUGAUUUUAAACCAUCGAUCUUAUUGAGCCACCCUUGCGUGAAUGUAUUGGAAGAAAAUUAUUCUAUGAGAGAGAGAAGACUAAGUAUUUAUUAGUCAUUGAAAGCAAUUUGGAUAUAAUGAAAACAAAAAAAUAAAGAAAGUGAUGGACACUUAAACCAGAACAAAUUUUUGGUCCUUUGUGUGGAAAUUAACUGCUUCACAUCCUUGCAGCUUCGAAUGAGAUUUUUUUUAAAAAAAUUUGAAAGUGUUGAAGCUGAAUUUAUGAAUAAAUAGUUAUAUGUUUAGAUAAGUUUUAAAUGGAGCAUAAAUAGUUUGAUUUGCUUAAUUAUAUAUGCACACAUUAAGUAAUUUCUAUCGUAUAUAUUUUGUAUAUUUCUUUUAUAUAUAAAAUAUAAUUUUUUGGUGAAAAGUGUUCAACGAUAGUCGCUAUAGUGUGUGGAAUUCAUGUUCCAUCACAUAAUUGGAGAGUUUUUUCUUGACUUUCUUUUUAUUAUUACUAUUAUUUAUGGAUUUUUAUAUAGUUUAAUUCACUGAUUUUGAUUCGGAGAAUGACAAUAUACUAGAGUUUUAAUUUACCCUUUGUUUGGUUAUAAUAUAUUAUAUUUAUUUGACUGCGUUUGCAUUAUAGUAUAAAUUGUUUGGAAUUACUUGUUUGUUUUGGGAAAGACUUGCAAGUUUGAGUCGGUCAAAAUUACACUGUGAUUAAUCAACUUAAUUAGAAAAUCAAAUAUAAUUUUAUACUUCACUCGUAUUCCACUUAAACUAACUAAAUUAAGUUAAACGGAACUCACCAUAGCUUUUCUGUGGUAUUGAGUUGUAUAUAAAUACUAGUAACGAAAGCCCGGGCGCUGCCCGGGCCCUGUGGUAUUGAGUUGUAUAUAAAUAUACUCUGAUGGUAUCAAAGAUAACUGAACAGUGUCUUCAUUGAAAGACUGCUUCUUCCUCCUUGAUAUUAUCAAAGUAUAAUAUACUUUGGUGGUAUUAAUGAGUAACCGAAUAGUGUUUUCAUUAAGGUUUGUUUCAGUCCUUCGAUGAGAAUACUCAAUCAUCCAUGAUACCAUUACGGUAUAUCUACAUACUGUCGUGGUAUCAUUUAGGUAUGCUUGAAUUCUUCAAUAUUUUAAUUUUAAAAAAUAUAAAAAUAUAUUUCCUACUAAUUUAGAGUUUAAUAAAUAAGAUUGUGAAUUUAAUAAUUUCUCUUAAUUAUUUCUUAAAAAAAGAGUUAAAUCCUAUAUCUCAUACUGAUAUCAUACGCGAUAUAAAAAAGGAGAAAGUGGGGUAAGCAUGUAAAUAUUUUGAGGCAUGGGUCCAUUUAGGGUAAAUAGUUUGGAUAAAGUCCAAUUUAGAUAAAUAGUUUCAUAAUUGGGUCUAUCUUACAUAGUUUUUUCUAUUAAUUACGCUACUUAAUUUUUAAAUAUAUAAAUUUCAUAAUUUUAAAUAAGUAAAGAACCUAUGCCCAACUUCACACUCGUACUUGGAAUUUUUCAAUAUUAAUUUGCUCAUACAAUUAUUCUACUAAUUUAUAUAGAACCAAUCCUUUUCUGAGAUUAAGUAGCACAAAUAUCGUAUUUUAAUCUUAGUUAAUGAAAGACAAAUUUUAAAAAGGUCAAAUAGGAAUAACAACUUUAUGUAUUCAUGUUUAGUGGAAACGAGAAGAUGCAAUACUUAGUUAUCAACGUAAGCCACUAUACCAUGAACAUAUGGUACGUGGAAUUAUUCAUACUAGCAACAUCAAAGGGUAAUAAUAAUAAUAAUUAUAGAGGUACAUUUAAUCCCUUACACAUCAUAAGUAAACACAUUUUAGUAAGGACGUUGUCCGACCCAGUUUCCAACAGGAUCAUAGUUGCAUGAAAUGAACCACCAUCCGUUGUUGCAACGAGCCCGACCACAACCUAGUCGAACUGAGUUGCGCCAGACUACUUGAGUAUAGUGUCCGCACACUUGUCCGCUUGCACAUUGGUUGGUACCAUAGUUGUAGUUUGGCUUCUCCCCCACCCACAAUUGCACAGCUGCCCUCCCCGUGAAAUCACCAGUUCCCUUGGCAAGGUUCUCCCCUGCACCGGAAUGAAUCAAGUUACAAUCACCAGUUCUUGAAUUGGCAUAAUUUUGUGCUCGGGAUGCCAAACCGGCAUCCCAAGACAUUGGCCCGACCCCGACUUGGGCACGGGCAUCGUUGUGAACCGCAAGAUAGUCUUGGGGUGAAUUUUGGGCAUCACAAGAGUGAAAUAUGGCUAAUACCAUGAGACAAGUGAGUAACAAUGAGAUGUUAAACAACCCCAUUUUGCUUUAGGUCUAGUGGAAAGAAAAUAAAUCUAAGUUAUUGUGAUUAUAAAUGUGAGAUAAGUAGUGUAUUUAUAAGUAAAAUUAAUUGUGGAAUUUUGUUUAGCAUGUGUGAAGAAAAUUCAAAGGAAAUUAGUAGAGGAAAUGAUAAAAAUGGUCUCUUAUCUUUGAUAGUAAGUUCAAAAUAGUCUCGUGUGUAUUUAGUUGAGCCAUUUUGGUCCUUCAAUUGUUUAGAAGUAAUUACUUUCGGUCCUUUAAGUUUUUCAAAAAUGAGCAUUUUUUUUAUCUUGAUUAGAUUUUUAUCAAACUUUGAUUGUUAAAUUUAAACAUUGUGGAAUUUUAUUUUUCAUAUUAAGAAAAUUCAAAUGUGAUUAGUACCUUGCAUGUCGUGUGAUUCAUGGAAUACUAUAUUCUUUAAAGAAUAGUCAUACUUUAAUCUAGGUAAUUCUUGUUUUUUUUUUUCAAAAUUAUAUUAUCAAAAUAAGGUUAAACAAGACUAAUUAAGCAUUUUUGGGUGGAAUAAAAAGUCUAUAGAACAUAAGAAGACUUGAAUUAUUAAAAUGAUGUAUAUUUUUUCUAUUAGAUGGGGCUCACACAUUUUUUCUAAGUACCUUUAAAGGGAAGUUCUAUCUAGCAGUAUUUAUUUUCAUUUUAGGAUUCGAACAUGGAACAUCCGAUCAAGAGAGGAUUCUAUUCAGUGUUUACUUAUAAAAUAUUUCAUGGAAAAAUGAUUUUAGGCCAUCGAUAUUAUUGAGCCGCCCUAAAUCUAUUGGGAGAAAAUUAUUGUACGAGAGAGAAGAGUGAGAAUUUGUUAGUCAUUGAAAGCAAUUUGAAUAUAAUGAAAACAAAAAAUAAACAAAGUGAUGGACACAUAAACCAGGACAAAUAUUUGGUCCUUUCUGUAGAAAUUAACUGCCUCACAUCCUGGCAGCUUCGAAUGAGAAUUAUUAAUUUUUAAAACGUUUUUAAGGGUUGAAGUUGAAUUUACGAAUAAAUAGUUACAUGUUUAAAUAAGUAUUAUAAAGAGAAUAAAUAAUUUGAUGUGCUUAAUAAAUAUAUGGCACACUUAAAAUAGUUUCUAAGGUACAUAUUUCGCAUAAAUUUUUAUAUAUAAUUUUUUUUUGAUGAAAAAUGUUUAACUGACCACCUAUCAUAGGUCGUCACUAUGUUAAAUUCCUGUUCCAUCACGUAAGUGUAGAGUUUUUUUCUUGAUUUAUUAUUAUUAUUAUUAUUAUUAUUAUCAUUAUUAUGGAUUUUUCUAUAGACUGCGUUUAUAUUAAAGUAAAUUGUUUGGAAUUACUUGUUUGUUUUGGGAAAGACUUGCAAGUUUGAGUCGGUCAAAAUUACACCGUGAUUAAUCAACCUAAUUUGAAAACCAAAUAUAAUUAUCAGGGAGCGGAUCUACCUCAGAGCAAAGGGGGUCGAGCGGCACCCCUCAUCGAAAGAUUACAUUAUAUAUAUAUAUAUAUAUAUAUAAAAAAAACUUAUAGGAGGUUGUGUGUUCCAUUCUUGAUAGCAAUUCUGGCUCUGCCACUGAACUCAUAACCAAGAUUAUAUUAAUUAGGGGAAAAAAUACUUAUAUCCCCAAAAAAGUAAAAUAUUUAUCUUUAAAUAUUUUAUUACUUUCAUACCCCCUUUUAUUUUAAAAUGACAUAUAUCUAGAUCUAUUCACGCGUUGACGUCAUGUUGAUGUCAACGUUCACCUUUUUUUUUCCUUUCUGAUACCAUCACAGUAUAAUACAAUCGUAUAUGAAUAUACUAUGAUGGUAUCAAAGAGUAACCGAGUAGUUUCUUCAUCGAAGGACUAUUUCUUCCUCUUUGAUAUCAUCAAAGUAUAAUAUACUCUGGUGGUAUCAAUGAGUAACUAAAUGGUGUUUUCAUUAAGGUUUGCUUCAGUCCCUCGAUGGGAAUACUCAAUCAUCCAUGAUACCAUUACGUUAUAUCUACAUGCUAUCAUGGUAUCAUUGAGGUAUGUUUCAAUUCUUCAAUAUUUUAAUUUUAAAAAAUAUAAAAAUAUAUUUUACUAACUAAUUUAGAGUUUAAUAAAUAAGAUUGUGACUUUAAUAAUUUUCUCUUAAUUAUUUCUUUAAAAAAAGUUAAAUCCUAUAUGAUACCGAUAAAGUAUCAACAUACAGACAUAGUGUCACGCCCCGAGUCUACACCCUGGGCGGGACUGGCNNNNNNNNNNNNNNNNNNNNNNNNNNNNNNNNNNNNNNNNNNNNNNNNNNNNNNNNNNNNNNNNNNNNNNNNNNNNNNNNNNNNNNNNNNNNNNNNNNNNCUUCUUAGCUAUUUCAAAUUGUCGGAUGUUACACAUAGUAUCACAAAAGAUUAAUUCAUAGUAGUGAUGCUAAUGUCAUAUUGAUAUCAUGUGCAAAAUAAGAAAGAAGAAAAUGGGGUAAGCGGGUAAAUAGUUUGGGGCAUAGCAUUAAUAAGGGUAAAUAGUGUGAUAAUUAAUUUGCUUAUACAAUUAUUCUACUAAUUUACACAGAACCAAUCCUUUUUAAUCUUAUUUAAAGAAAGACAAAAUUUUAGAAAGGUAAAAUAGGAAUAACUUUAUGUAGUCAUGUUUAAUGGAAACAAGUCGCACUAUACCAUGAACAUAUGGUACGUGGAGUACUUAUCAAAGGGAAAUAAUGAUUUUAUUUAAUAGCAGCAACAUGCCAUAAGUUAACACACUUUAGUAAGGACGUUGUCCGAUCCAAUUGCCUACAGGAUCGUAGUUGCAAGAAAUGAACCACCAACCAUUGUUGCAACGAGCCCGACCACAACCUAGUCGAACUGAGUUGCGCCAAACUACUUGAGUAUAGUGUCCGCACACUUUUCCACUAGCACAUUGGUUGGUAGCAUAGUUGUAGUUUGGCUUUUCUGACACCCACAAUUGCACGGCACGCCUCCCUGUGUAGUCUCCUCCGCCCUUGGCAAGGUUCUCCCCAGCACCAGAAUGAAUCAAAUUGCAAUCACCAAUUCUUGAGUUGGCAUAGUUUUGUGCUCGGGUUGCCAAGCUGGCAUCCCAUGACAUUGGCCCAACCCCGACUUGGGCACGGGCAUCGUUGUGAACCGCAAGAUAGUCUUGGGGGUGAAUUUUGGGCAUCACAAGAGUGAAAUAUGGCUAAUACAUGCAUGAAACAAAUGAGUAAUAAUUAGAUGUUAAACAACCCCAUUUUGUUUUAGGUCUAGUGGAGAGAGAACAAAUGUGAUUAUGGAUAUGAGAUAAUUAAAUGGUGUAUAUACAAGUAAACAUUGUGGAAUUUUGUUUAGAUGUAAAGAAAAUUCAAAGGAAAUUAUUUGAGGAAUGACAAAAAUGGUCUCUUAUCUUUGGUAGUAGAUUCAAAAUAAUCUCUAGUAUUGUAUUUAGUUGAACGAGUUUGGUCCUUAAGUUUGUUAAAAGUGAGCACUUUUGGACUCGAUCAUAUAUUUAUCAAACUCUAAACGUUAAAAUUUAAUCGAAAUUGUGAAAAUUAUUAAAUUUCAAAAAUGUAAAAUUUUGUUUGCAUGUGAAGAAAAUUCAAAGGAGAUUGGUACAUUGCAUGUGGUAUGAAACAAGGAAUACUACAUUCUUUAAAGAAUAGUCAUGAUAUAUUCUUUAAUCUUGGACGUUCAUUUUCUUGAAAAUCAUAUUAUCAAGAUAAGGUUGAAACUUAAACAAGACUUAAUAUGAUGUCGGGAACAAGUUAUUUUGAAAUAAUUAAUUUCAGAAUAAAUUGUUCCAUCAAUAACUUAUUCCAUCAUUAUGACAAAAUGGUGGGACUAAUUCAAGAACUAUCUAAUACCUUCAACCAAACGUGGAAUAGAAUAAUCCUAUAUUAAUUCUGGAAUUAUUAUAUCUUAUACCUUAUACCUCACACCAAACGACUCCAAGUGUUUUACAAUAGGUAUAAUAUUCACUCUCAAUAGUUACAUACAAGUCUUUUGAAAAAUAGAAAGAUGGAAAUACCCAUAACAUGUAUAAUAUGUCGAAUGAUCCAAAUCCUAAUUAAAUUUCAUUUUUUUCAAUAAAUGGGGUCGCACGUAUUCUACAUAUCCUCGUGAAUCAUGGCUUACUAUGUCUUUAGUCUCCAACAUUUUAGGGGUCCAAAAAGAAAUUGUUCUUUCACACUAUGUCUGAAAUCUAUGUUGAUUGAUUUAAUCUCAUGCCACAUAAGGUUUUUAAGGGGUCGUUAAUUGGUUUGAAAAUAAGUUAUGAUGGGAUAAGUUAUGCUGAAAUUAGUAAUGAUGGGAUAAGUUAUGUUGAAAUUAGUUAUGAUAAGAUAAGUUAUGCUGAGAAUAUUUCUUGUAAAGCUCUCUCUAGCAAUAUUUAAUUUUUCAUGGACUCAAAUUCAAGACCACAUAGGUCAAGAGAUCGAGGAUGAAAUCCAGUUUUCACCUUUAAAAUACUUUAUGAAAAUUUAAUUUUUGGCCAUCAAUAUAAUUGAGCCGCCCUAGCGUGAAUCUUUAAGGAUAAAAUUAUUCUAUGAGAGAAAGAAAACUAAGUAUUUGUUAAUCAAUGAAGCAAUUUGGAUAGAAUGAAAACAAAACACAAACCGCCUCCUCAUUAGCAGCUUCAAAUUACAAUUAACUUUUAAAGCGUUUUUGAAGUGUUGAAGUUGAAUUUAUCAAUAAAUAGUUACGUGUUUAAAUAAGUGUUAAAUGAACAAUAAAUAGUUUGAUAUGCUCAGUUAAAAUAAACGCAUGUAAAGUACGUAAUUUCUUAUGUAUGUACUUCAUAUAAUUUUUUAUAUAUUAAAUAUAAUUUUUCGAUGAAAGGGCUACGCGACUGCAUGGAAUUCUUGUUCUAUCACAUCUAAGUUUUUUACAAAAUUAUCAGUCCUCUUCGAGUGAAGUAACACAAAUAUUGUAUUUUAAUCUUAUUUAAGGAAAGAGAAAAUUUUAGAAAGGUAAAAUAGGAAAAACUUUAUGUAUUCAUGUUAUAUCAUUUAUCAAAGAGAAAUAAUAAUAAUUAUAGACGUUCAUUUAAUUCCUUAAUAUCUUAGAUAGAAGAUUGACUCGAUCCACAUGUCAGACUUAAAAUUUAGCUCCUUGAUAUCUAAUAUGGAAAUUUUAUUUAAUAUUAGCAAUAUAUUAUAAGCAAACAUCCUUUAGUAAGGACGUUGUCCGACCAAGUUGCCUACAGGAUCAUAUUUGCAAGAAAUGAACCACCAUCCGUUGUUGCAACAAUCCCGGCCACAAUCUAGUCGGACUGAGUUGCGCUAGACUACUUGAGUAUAAUGUCCACACAUUUUUCCACUAACACAUUGGUUGGUAGCGUAGUUAUAGCUUGGCAAGGUUCUCCCCAGCACCAGAAUGAAUCAAAUGGCAAUCACGAGUUCUUGAGUUGGCAUAGUGUUGUGCUCGGGAUGCCAAGCCUACAUCCCAAGACAUUGGCCCGACCCCGACUUGCGCACGGGCGUUGUUGUGAACCACAAGAUAGUCUUGGGGUGAAUUUUGGGCAUCACAAGAGUGAAAUAUGGCUAAUACCAUGAGACAAAUGAGUAACAUUGGGAUGUUGAACAACCCCAUUUUGCUUUAGGUCUAGUGGAGAGAAAAGAAG